Molecule: ribosomal RNA, 274 nt
Filed under: uncultured bacterium
Lineage: Bacteria
Description: partial 16S ribosomal RNA
Rfam family: Bacterial small subunit ribosomal RNA
Source: RNAcentral
AUACGGAGGGUGCAAGCGUUAUCCGGAAUCAUUGGGUUUAAAGGGUCCGUAGGCGGACUAUUAAGUCAGAGGUGAAAUCCCACAGCUCAACUGUGGAACUGCCUUUGAUACUGGUAGUCUUGAGUUAUAUGGAAGUAGAUAGAAUGUGUAGUGUAGCGGUGAAAUGCAUAGAUAUUACACAGAAUACCGAUUGCGAAGGCAGUCUACUACGUAUAUACUGACGCUAAGGGACGAAAGCGUGGGGAGCGGACAGGAUUAGAAACCCUAGUAGUCC